RNAcentral lists this transfer RNA (71 nucleotides) under Capra hircus (goat). It matches the Rfam family "tRNA". Rfam says of the family: Transfer RNA (tRNA) molecules are approximately 80 nucleotides in length. The record is from Rfam by way of RNAcentral. RNAcentral also lists the same sequence under 1 other name. Lineage: Eukaryota; Metazoa; Chordata; Mammalia; Artiodactyla; Bovidae.
UCCCUUGUAGCUCAGUUGGUAAAGAUCUGCCUGCAAUGCAGGAGACCCAGGUUCAAUUCCUGGGUUGGGAA